Long non-coding RNA from Crotalus tigris (Tiger rattlesnake), 514 nucleotides. RefSeq lists it as uncharacterized. The transcript is spliced from 3 exons. Lineage: Eukaryota; Metazoa; Chordata; Lepidosauria; Squamata; Viperidae. The record is from RefSeq and is a predicted model, not a curated record.
CGGAGCGCACGUCUACCGGCGAGGCCUCAGGAAGGAAAAAAGGAAGCCUGCUACUGCCUCAGUGGAAAGGGCACAAAGAGACCCAGCCUCCUAGUCUCUCGUACCGGCAUCCAGCCGCCUGCUUAGGGACAGGAAGUCGGCCAUGCCGAGAAGGUCGUUCUGAAUGGAAGUGGAAGGACGGCCACAGAAACGGACAGGAAGUUGGCCAUCCCGGGGAGGUCGGUGUGUAAGACAGUGGAGGACUACUGCGCAUGUGUGACUGGAAGUUGGCAGGCCCUAGGAGUAGGUAACCCAAAACACUCGAAGAGCCACUUGGACCCAUUUACAACCGAAAACAUCUUUUAUGACUCAUGGACUUCUACUCUCAGAAUUCCUGAGUCAGCAUAGCUGGGCUAGCUAGCUCUCUCCUGCCCUUCCUGCUUCCUGCAGAGACGCAGCAAAAGGAGGAGUGCCAUCCAGUAAGCUUUUUAGCUCGUCGGAGAACACUGUGAGUCCACUCUCUUUUUUACACACA